UACGGAGGAUGCGAGCGUUAUCCGGAUUUAUUGGGUUUAAAGGGUGCGUAGGCGGGCUUUUAAGUCAGCGGUAAAAAUUCGGGGCUCAACCCCGUCCGGCCGUUGAAACUGGAAGACUUGAGUGUGUUUGAGGUAGGCGGAAUGCGUGGUGUAGCGGUGAAAUGCAUAGAUAUCGCGCAGAACUCCGAUUGCGAAGGCAGCAUGCCGGCUCCACACUGACGCUGAGGCACGAAAGCGUGGGUAUCGAACAGG
RNAcentral lists this ribosomal RNA (252 nucleotides) under uncultured Bacteroidales bacterium. Its description in RNAcentral is "partial 16S ribosomal RNA". It matches the Rfam family "Bacterial small subunit ribosomal RNA", at positions 524 to 776 of the family's 1533-position model. The record is from RNAcentral. Lineage: Bacteria; Pseudomonadati; Bacteroidota; Bacteroidia; Bacteroidales.